AGACAGUAAACAGAUCCUUUAUCUAGUGAGCCAUUGUCAGUAUUUCAGACACAAGAGUUCAGUUCUCAGUGAAUCUGAGUAAAGAAGGAAUGGAGAAACCCUUGGGCCUGCUCUUCCUUUGGCUUCAACUAGACUGGGUGAGCAGUAAACAGGAGGUGAAUCAGAAUCCUGAAGCUCUGAAUGUCCAUGAAGGAGAAAGCUUGGUUCUCAACUGCAGUUACACCGAUAGUGCUAUUUACUUCCUUCAGUGGUUUAGGCAGGACGCUGGGAAAGGUCUCACAUCUCUGUUGUUAAUUCAGUCAAGUCAGACAGAGCAAACGAGUGGAAGAAUUAAAGCUUCGUUGGAUAAGUCAUCAAGACACAGUACUUUAUACAUUGGGGAUUCUCAGCCUGGUGAUUCGGCCACCUACCUCUGUGCUGUGAGGCACAGUGCACAGCAGACACCUGCAGCCAAUACCCAAACUCUACAGCUGAAGCGCCAGCCACAUGUCCUUCACUGA
This is a non-coding RNA of Galeopterus variegatus (Sunda flying lemur), 500 nucleotides long. Lineage: Eukaryota; Metazoa; Chordata; Mammalia; Dermoptera; Cynocephalidae. The record is from the annotation of a RefSeq genome assembly.